CCUACGGGGAGCAGCAGUAGGGACUUUUCGGCAAUGGGGGGAACCCUUACCGAGCAACGCCGCGUGAACGAAGAAGUUAUUCGUAAUGUAAAGUUCUUUUAACAGGGAAGAAAGAGAAAUUUGCCGGUACCUGAGUAAGAAGCCCCGGCUAACUACGUGCCAGCAGCCGCGGUAAUACGUAGGGGGCAAGCGUUAUCCGGAAUUACUGGGUGUAAAGGGGGCGUAGACGGUAAUGCAAGUCUGGAUUGAAAGGCGGGGGCCCAACCCCCGGACUGCUCUGGAAACUGUGUAACUGGAGUGCAGGAGAGGCAGGCGGAAUUCCUAGUGUAGCGGUGAAAUGCGUAGAUAUUAGGAGGAACACCAGUGGCGAAGGCGGCCUGCUGGACUGUAACUGACGUUGAGGCUCGAAAGCGUGGGGAGCAAACAGGAUUAGAUACCCCAGUAGUC
This 447-nucleotide ribosomal RNA is filed under the name uncultured bacterium. RNAcentral's name for it is "partial 16S ribosomal RNA". It matches the Rfam family "Bacterial small subunit ribosomal RNA", at positions 338 to 795 of the family's 1533-position model. The record is from RNAcentral.